GACUUCCCUUGCAGCACAGGUGCCCGGAGGCUUUUCGGCCAAAGGGUGAAACGGGAAGCCGGUGCGCAGGCCAGAAUUCUUCCACGGCCUGCAAUGCCGGCGCUGCCCCCGCAACGGUAACUGGGGAAGGUGGAUCACACUGCCAUGGGGCAUCGGCUUUCGAAAAUCUAUACGCGCACCGGCGAUGACGGCAGCACCGGUCUGGGAGAUGGCACCCGGAUCGCGAAAACCGCGCCGCGGGUGGAGGCCAUGG
Non-coding RNA from Gammaproteobacteria bacterium, 253 nucleotides. The record is from Rfam. NCBI's taxonomy places the organism in Bacteria, Pseudomonadati, Pseudomonadota, Gammaproteobacteria.